Molecule: transfer RNA, 56 nt
Filed under: Coxiella burnetii
Lineage: Bacteria; Pseudomonadati; Pseudomonadota; Gammaproteobacteria; Legionellales; Coxiellaceae
Description: tRNA-Thr
Rfam family: tRNA
About the family: Transfer RNA (tRNA) molecules are approximately 80 nucleotides in length.
Source: RNAcentral
UGGUAGAGCGCUUGCUUGGUAAGGAAGAGGUCACCGGUUCAAGUCCGGUUGUGGGC